Branchiostoma belcheri (Belcher's lancelet) is the source of this 424-nucleotide long non-coding RNA. RefSeq lists it as uncharacterized. The transcript has 3 exons. NCBI's taxonomy places the organism in Eukaryota, Metazoa, Chordata, Leptocardii, Amphioxiformes, Branchiostomatidae. The record is from RefSeq and is a predicted model, not a curated record.
UUUCAGCGAUCCAGACCGGACGGAGGAGGUCAAGUCGUAAUCUGCGGGUCAGUAGAAGAACGCCAAGGGUCUCUCUGGGACAAGGGCGCCGACAGAGCCGCCAAGGUGAAGGGCAGGAUCAUCCCCACUGAGGCCAAGGUCACAAACUGCCACUGGAUUACAAAGCAGAAGAAAGGAGGACCUAGCUCACGAAGAAGACCAUGGUUAAACUGGAUAUACGUACAGUACAGUACAUAGAUGAACUGACCACAACGCCAUGCAGUGAAGGAAGGGUGCGGUGGAAGGGAUGGUGGCAGGUGGCGACGAUAAUGGUGGUUGCAUCUACGAAAUGACGGAGGGACGUUACGCUCCAGACUUGAGCGAUGAAGACAUCCUUAUCAUCGGGAGCCCAGACGUUCUUCUUCGGAUCGUAAGGCGCGGAGCG